RNAcentral lists this non-coding RNA (95 nucleotides) under bacteria symbiont BFo2 of Frankliniella occidentalis. RNAcentral's name for it is "TPP riboswitch aptamer (THI element)". It matches the Rfam family "TPP riboswitch aptamer (THI element)". Rfam says of the family: Vitamin B(1) in its active form thiamin pyrophosphate (TPP) is an essential coenzyme that is synthesised by coupling of pyrimidine and thiazole moieties in bacteria. The previously detected thiamin-regulatory element, thi box was extended, resulting in a new, highly conserved RNA secondary structure, the THI element, which is widely distributed in eubacteria and also occurs in some archaea. Lineage: Bacteria; Pseudomonadati; Pseudomonadota; Gammaproteobacteria; Enterobacterales. The record is from Rfam by way of RNAcentral. RNAcentral also lists the same sequence under 1 other name.
CUUCAUGACUCGGGGUGCCUACUUAAUCAGGCUGAGAAAUACCCGUAUUACCUGAACUGGAUAAUGCCAGCGUAGGAAAGUCACUCGCCUCACUA